GAUUAAGUUAUUAAGGGCGCACGGUGGAUGCCUUGGCACUAGAAGCCGAUGAAGGACGUUACUAACGACGAUAUGCUUUGGGUAGCUGUAAGUAAGCGUUGAUCCAGAGAUUUCCGAAUGGGGGAACCCAGCAUGAGUUAUGUCAUGUUAUCGACAUGUGAAUUCAUAGCAUGUCAGAAGGCAGACCCGGAGAACUGAAACAUCUUAGUACCCGGAGGAAGAGAAAGAAAAAUCGAUUCCCUGAGUAGCGGCGAGCGAAACGGGAAGAGCCCAAACCAACAAGCUUGCUUGUUGGGGUUGUAGGACACUCUAUACGGAGUUACAAAAGAACAUGUUAGACGAAUCAUCUGGAAAGAUGAAUCAAAGAAGGUAAUAAUCCUGUAGUCGAAAACAUAUUCUCUCUUGAGUGGAUCCUGAGUACGACGGAGCACGUGAAAUUCCGUCGGAAUCUGGGAGGACCAUCUCCUAAGGCUAAAUACUCUCUAGUGACCGAUAGUGAACCAGUACCGUGAGGGAAAGGUGAAAAGUACCCCGGAAGGGGAGUGAAAGAGAACUUGAAACCGUGUGCUUACAAGUAGUCAGAGCCCGUUAAUGGGUGAUGGCGUGCCUUUUGUAGAAUGAACCGGCGAGUUACGAUCUGAUGCAAGGUUAAGCAGCAAAUGUGGAGCCGCAGCGAAAGCGAGUCUGAAUAGGGCGUUGAGUAUUUGGUCGUAGACCCGAAACCAGGUGAUCUACCCUUGGUCAGGUUGAAGUUCAGGUAACACUGAAUGGAGGACCGAACCGACUUACGUUGAAAAGUGAGCGGAUGAACUGAGGGUAGCGGAGAAAUUCCAAUCGAACUUGGAGAUAGCUGGUUCUCUCCGAAAUAGCUUUAGGGCUAGCCUCAAGUGAUGAUUAUUGGAGGUAGAGCACUGUUUGGACGAGGGGCCCCUCUCGGGUUACCGAAUUCAGACAAACUCCGAAUGCCAAUUAAUUUAACUUGGGAGUCAGAACAUGGGUGAUAAGGUCCGUGUUCGAAAGGGAAACAGCCCAGACCACCAGCUAAGGUCCCAAAAUAUAUGUUAAGUGGAAAAGGAUGUGGCGUUGCCCAGACAACUAGGAUGUUGGCUUAGAAGCAGCCAUCAUUUAAAGAGUGCGUAAUAGCUCACUAGUCGAGUGACACUGCGCCGAAAAUGUACCGGGGCUAAACAUAUUACCGAAGCUGUGGAUUGUCCUUUGGACAAUGGUAGGAGAGCGUUCUAAGGGCGUCGAAGCAUGAUCGCAAGGACAUGUGGAGCGCUUAGAAGUGAGAAUGCCGGUGUGAGUAGCGAAAGACGGGUGAGAAUCCCGUCCACCGAUUGACUAAGGUUUCCAGAGGAAGGCUCGUCCGCUCUGGGUUAGUCGGGUCCUAAGCUGAGGCCGACAGGCGUAGGCGAUGGAUAACAGGUUGAUAUUCCUGUACCACCUAGUAUCGUUUUAAUCGAUGGGGGGACGCAGUAGGAUAGGCGAAGCGUGCUGUUGGAGUGCACGUCCAAGCAGUAAGGCUGAGUGUUAGGCAAAUCCGGCACUCAUAAGGCUGAGCUGUGAUGGGGAGAGGAAAUUGUUUCCUCGAGUCG
RNAcentral lists this ribosomal RNA (1595 nucleotides) under Staphylococcus epidermidis. Its description in RNAcentral is "partial 23S ribosomal RNA". It matches the Rfam family "Bacterial large subunit ribosomal RNA", at positions 1 to 1593 of the family's 2925-position model. The record is from RNAcentral. Lineage: Bacteria; Bacillati; Bacillota; Bacilli; Caryophanales; Staphylococcaceae.